GAUGAACGCUGGCGGCGUGCCUAAUACAUGCAAGUCGAGCGAACAGACGCUGAGCUUGCUCCUCUGUCGUUUGCGGCGGACGGGUGUGUAACACGUGUAUACCCUCCCUAUCUUACUGGGAUAACUUCGGGAAACCGGCGCUAAUCCCGGAUAAUCUAUUGCACCACGUGGUUCAUUGGUAAAAUUCGGUUUUGCUGUCUCUUCUCGCUGCAUCCGGGCCGGUUUAGCUAGUUGGUAAGGUAACGGCUUACCAAGGCAACCAUGCGUAACCGACCUGCGAGGGUGAUAGGCGACACUGGAACGGAGACACGGUCCAGACGACUAAGGGAGGCAGCAGUAGGGAAUGGGACGCAAUGGGCGAAAGCAUGACGGAGCAAGGGCGCGUGAGUGAUGAAGGUCUUCGGAGCGUAAAAAUCGGUUAUGAGGGAAGAACAAAUGUGGAAGGAACUAUGCACGUCGUGACGGUACCUAAUAAGAAAGCAACGGCUAACUACGUG
Molecule: ribosomal RNA, 497 nt
Filed under: uncultured bacterium
Lineage: Bacteria
Description: partial 16S ribosomal RNA
Rfam family: Bacterial small subunit ribosomal RNA
Source: RNAcentral